GGAAUGAAGCUCAGUGGCAGAGUACAUGACUAGUGUGUGAGGUCCUGGGUUCCAUUCCCAGCAUUACA
RNAcentral lists this transfer RNA (68 nucleotides) under Marmota monax (woodchuck). Its description in RNAcentral is "tRNA.Leu". The record is from RNAcentral. Lineage: Eukaryota; Metazoa; Chordata; Mammalia; Rodentia; Sciuridae.